This 439-nucleotide long non-coding RNA is filed under the name Salmo salar (Atlantic salmon). RNAcentral's name for it is "lncRNA (ENSSSAG00000093040.1)". Lineage: Eukaryota; Metazoa; Chordata; Actinopteri; Salmoniformes; Salmonidae. The record is from RNAcentral.
AUCAAAAGUCAAACACUAAGCUCCAGAACAUCAGGGUAGUCCACUCCUGAACCCCAGCAGGCCUCUUCCAGAGCAGGGGGAUUUCCCACCCACUCUGCCUGCUCAGGGCUCACAGAUUGGGAAGAGAGGGGAGAAGGCCUCUAUCCCUACUCUCUCAUUCUAUAACAUCUCGCAACAAGAAACAUAAAUUGCUCUGUUCCACCUCAAGGGUGGGGAAAGGCAGCACUACAUGAGGUCCAGUGACCCCAACACAUACACACAGAUGCACAGAAAGAGAGAGAUAGAUAGAUACUGAGAGCACAGCGCUGAGAGUGGAAUGUAGUCAAACACGGGGGAGGAUCAGUAAAGAAAGGACAUGAGGGAGAGAGAGAGAGCGAGCGAGAGAGAGGAGGGAGAACGAGAGAGGGGGGAGAGAGAGCGGUGAGAGAGAGAGCAGGUG